GUCCUGCUGACGAGUCCCAAAUAGGACGAAACGCGCGUCCUCGAU
This 45-nucleotide non-coding RNA is filed under the name Schistosoma mansoni. Lineage: Eukaryota; Metazoa; Platyhelminthes; Trematoda; Strigeidida; Schistosomatidae. The record is from RNAcentral.